RNAcentral lists this ribosomal RNA (264 nucleotides) under uncultured bacterium. RNAcentral's name for it is "partial 16S ribosomal RNA". It matches the Rfam family "Bacterial small subunit ribosomal RNA", at positions 46 to 334 of the family's 1533-position model. The record is from RNAcentral.
AGGCCUAACACAUGCAAGUCGAGCGGUCGUAGCAAUACGGCAGCGGCAGACGGGAGAGUAACACGUGGGAACGUGCCCUUUGGUUCGGAACAACACAGGGAAACUUGUGCUAAUACCGGAUACGCCCUUACGGGGAAAGAUUUAUCGCCAAAGGAUCGGCCCGCGUCUGAUUAGCUAGUUGGUGGGGUAACGGCCCACCAAGGCGACGAUCAGUAGCUGGUCUGAGAGGAUGAUCAGCCUCACUGGGACUGAGACACGGCCCAG